This 301-nucleotide ribosomal RNA is filed under the name uncultured bacterium. Its description in RNAcentral is "partial 16S ribosomal RNA". It matches the Rfam family "Bacterial small subunit ribosomal RNA", at positions 509 to 807 of the family's 1533-position model. The record is from RNAcentral.
CAGCCGCCACGGUAAUACGAAGGGUGCAAGCGUUACUCGGAAUUACUGGGCGUAAAGCGUGCGUAGGUGGUGGUUUAAGUCCGUUGUGAAAGCCCUGGGCUCAACCUGGGAAUUGCAGUGGAUACUGGGUCACUAGAGUGUGGUAGAGGAUAGUGGAAUUUCCGGUGUAGCAGUGAAAUGCGUAGAGAUCGGAAGAAACAUCUGUGGCGAAGGCGACUAUCUGGGCCAACACUGACACUGAGGCACGAAAGCGUGGGGAGCAAACAGGAUUAGAUACCCCCGUAGUCCCUGUCUCUUAUAC